GAUGAACGCUGGCGGCGUGCCUAAUACAUGCAAGUCGAGCGAACGGACGAGAAGCUUGCUUCUCUGAUGUUAGCGGCGGACGGGUGAGUAACACGUGGAUAACCUACCUAUAAGACUGGGAUAACUUCGGGAAACCGGAGCUAAUACCGGAUAAUAUUUUGAACCGCAUGGUUCAAAAGUGAAAGACGGUCUUGCUGUCACUUAUAGAUGGAUCCGCGCUGCAUUAGCUAGUUGGUAAGGUAACGGCUUACCAAGGCAACGAUGCAUAGCCGACCUGAGAGGGUGAUCGGCCACACUGGAACUGAGACACGGUCCAGACUCCUACGGGAGGCAGCAGUAGGGAAUCUUCCGCAAUGGGCGAAAGCCUGACGGAGCAACGCCGCGUGAGUGAUGAAGGUCUUCGGAUUGUAAAACUCUGUUAUUAGGGAAGAACAUAUGUGUAAGUAACUGUGCACAUCUUGACGGUACCUAAUCAGAAAGCCACGGCUAACUACGUGCCAGCAGCCGCGGUAAUACGUAGGUGGCAAGCGUUAUCCGGAAUUAUUGGGCGUAAAGCGCGCGUAGGCGGUUUUUUAAGUCUGAUGUGAAAGCCCACGGCUCAACCGUGGAGGGUCAUUGGAAACUGGAAAACUUGAGUGCAGAAGAGGAAAGUGGAAUUCCAUGUGUAGCGGUGAAAUGCGCAGAGAUAUGGAGGAACACCAGUGGCGAAGGCGACUUUCUGGUCUGUAACUGACGCUGAUGUGCGAAAGCGUGGGGAUCAAACAGGAUUAGAUACCCUGGUAGUCCACGCCGUAAACGAUGAGUGCUAAGUGUUAGGGGGUUUCCGCCCCUUAGUGCUGCAGCUAACGCAUUAAGCACUCCGCCUGGGGAGUACGACCGCAAGGUUGAGACUCAAAGGAAUUGACGGGGACCCGCACAAGCGGUGGAGCAUGUGGUUUAAUUCGAAGCAACGCGAAGAACCUUACCAAAUCUUGACAUCCUUUGACAACUCUAGAGAUAGAGCUUUCCCCUUCGGGGGACAAAGUGACAGGUGGUGCAUGGUUGUCGUCAGCUCGUGUCGUGAGAUGUUGGGUUAAGUCCCGCAACGAGCGCAACCCUUAAGCUUAGUUGCCAUCAUUAAGUUGGGCACUCUAAGUUGACUGCCGGUGACAAACCGGAGGAAGGUGGGGAUGACGUCAAAUCAUCAUGCCCCUUAUGAUUUGGGCUACACAUGUGCUACAAUGGACAAUACAAAGGGCAGCGAAACCGUGAGGUCAAGCAAAUCCCAUAAAGUUGUUCUCAGUUCGGAUUGUAGUCUGCAACUCGACUACAUGAAGCUGGAAUCGCUAGUAAUCGUAGAUCAGCAUGCUACGGUGAAUACGUUCCCGGGUCU
RNAcentral lists this ribosomal RNA (1372 nucleotides) under uncultured bacterium. RNAcentral's name for it is "bacterial SSU rRNA". It matches the Rfam family "Bacterial small subunit ribosomal RNA", at positions 28 to 1381 of the family's 1533-position model. The record is from RNAcentral.